RNAcentral lists this ribosomal RNA (460 nucleotides) under uncultured bacterium. RNAcentral describes it as "partial 16S ribosomal RNA". It matches the Rfam family "Bacterial small subunit ribosomal RNA", at positions 338 to 795 of the family's 1533-position model. The record is from RNAcentral.
CCUACGGGUGGCAGCAGUGAGGAAUAUUGGUCAAUGGGCGUAAGCCUGAACCAGCCAAGUCGCGUGAGUGAUGAAGGUUCUAUGGAUCGUAAACCUCUUUUAUAAGGGAGUAAAAUGCGGGACUUGUCGAGUUUUGUAUGUCCCUUAUGAAUAAGGAUCGGCUACCUACGUGCCAGCAGCCGCGGUAAUAAGGAGGAUCCGAUCGUUGUCCGGAUUGCUUGGGUGUAAAGGGUGCGUAGGCGGCCUUUUAAGUCAGCGGUGAAAGGCUGUGGCCCAACCAUAGAAUUGCCGUGGAAACUGGGAGGCUUGAGUGUGUUUGAGGCAGGUGGAAUGCGUGGGGUAGCGGGGAAAUGCUUAGAUAUCACGAAGAACCCCGAUUGCGAAGGCAGCCUGCCAAGCCAUGACUGACGCUGAUGCACGAAAGCGUGGGGAUCAAACAGGAGUAGAUACCCGAGUAGUC